RNAcentral lists this ribosomal RNA (498 nucleotides) under uncultured bacterium. RNAcentral describes it as "partial 16S ribosomal RNA". It matches the Rfam family "Bacterial small subunit ribosomal RNA", at positions 28 to 507 of the family's 1533-position model. The record is from RNAcentral.
GACGAACGCUGGCGGCGUGCCUAAUACAUGCAAGUCGAACGAGAGCGACCGGUGCUUGCACUGGUCAAUCUAGUGGCGAACGGGUGAGUAACACGUGGGUAACCUGCCCAUCAGAGGGGGAUAACAUCCGGAAACGGAUGCUAAAACCGCAUAGGUCUUCGAACCGCAUGGUUUGAAGAGGAAAAGAGGCGCAAGCUUCUGCUGAUGGAUGGACCCGCGGUGCAUUAGCUAGUUGGUGAGGUAACGGCUCACCAAGGCCGUGAUGCAUAGCCGACCUGAGAGGGUGAUCGGCCACAUUGGGACUGAGACACGGCCCAAACUCCUACGGGAGGCAGCAGUAGGGAAUCUUCCGCAAUGGACGCAAGUCUGACGGAGCAACGCCGCGUGAGUGAAGAAGGUUUUCGGAUCGUAAAACUCUGUUGUUAGAGAAGAACAAGUGCUAGAGUAACUGUUAGCGCCUUGACGGUAUCUAACCAGAAAGCCACGGCUAACUAUGUG